RNAcentral lists this unclassified non-coding RNA (329 nucleotides) under soil metagenome. RNAcentral describes it as "partial contains 5.8S ribosomal RNA, internal transcribed spacer 2, and large subunit ribosomal RNA". The stretch from base 1 to 120 matches the Rfam family "5.8S ribosomal RNA", at positions 35 to 154 of the family's 154-position model. The record is from RNAcentral.
GAUGAAGAACGUAGCGAAAUGCGUUAAGUAGUGUGAAUUGCAGAAUUCAGUGAAUCAUCGAAUCUUUGAACGCACAUUGCGCCCCUUGGUAUCCCGAGGGGCAUGCCUGUUCGAGCGUCAUUUCACCACUCAAGCCUGGCUUGGUGUUGGGCGACGUCCCCUUUGGGGACGCGCCUCGAAACGCUCGGCGGCGUGGCACCGGCUUUAAGCGUAGCAGAAUCUUUCGCUUUGGAAGUCGGGGCCCCGUCUGCCGGAAGACCUACUCGCAAGGUUGACCUCGGAUCAGGCAGGGAUACCCGCUGAACUUAAGCAUAUCAAUAAGCGGAGGA